This 498-nucleotide ribosomal RNA is filed under the name uncultured bacterium. Its description in RNAcentral is "partial 16S ribosomal RNA". It matches the Rfam family "Bacterial small subunit ribosomal RNA", at positions 28 to 507 of the family's 1533-position model. The record is from RNAcentral.
GACGAACGCUGGCGGCGUGCCUAAUACAUGCAAGUCGAGCGGACGGAUGGGAGCUUGCUCCCAGACCGUCAGCGGCGGACGGGUGAGUAACACGUGGGCAACCUGCCUGUAAGACUGGGAUAACUCCGGGAAACCGGGGCUAAUACCGGAUAACUCUUUCCCUCACAUGAGGGAAAGCUGAAAGAUGGCAUCUCGCUAUCACUUACAGAUGGGCCCGCGGCGCAUUAGCUAGUUGGUGAGGUAACGGCUCACCAAGGCGACGAUGCGUAGCCGACCGGAGAGGGUGAUCGGCCACACUGGGACUGAGACACGGCCCAGACUCCUACGGGAGGCAGCAGUAGGGAAUCUUCCGCAAUGGACGAAAGUCUGACGGAGCAACGCCGCGUGAGUGAUGAAGGUUUUCGGAUCGUAAAACUCUGUUGUCAGGGAAGAACAAGUACCGGAGUAACUGCCGGUACCUUGACGGUACCUGACCAGAAAGCCACGGCUAACUACGUG